ACUACGGGGGGCAGCAGUCGAGAAUCAUUCACAAUGGGGGAAACCCUGAUGGGGCGACGCCGCGUGGGGGAAUGAAGGUCUGCGGAUUGUAAACCCCUGUCAUGUGGGAGCAAAUGAAAAAGAUAGUACCACAAGAGGAAGAGACGGCUAACUCUGUGCCAGCAGCCGCGGUAAUACAGAGGUCUCAAGCGUUGUUCGGAAUCACUGGGCGUAAAGCGUGCGUAGGCGGUUUCGUAAGUCGUGUGUGAAAGGCGCGGGCUCAACCCGCGGACGGCCCAUGAUACUGUGAGACUAGAGUAACGGAGGGGGAACCGGAAUUCCCGGUGUAGCGGUGAAAUGCGUAGAUAUCGGGAAGAACACUCGUGGCGAAGGCGGGUUCCUGGACAUUAACUGACGCUGAGGCGCGAAGGCCAGGGGAGCGAACAGGAUUAGAUACCCCAGUAGUC
Molecule: ribosomal RNA, 446 nt
Filed under: uncultured bacterium
Lineage: Bacteria
Description: partial 16S ribosomal RNA
Rfam family: Bacterial small subunit ribosomal RNA
Source: RNAcentral